Molecule: long non-coding RNA, 1485 nt
Filed under: Lactuca sativa (garden lettuce)
Lineage: Eukaryota; Viridiplantae; Streptophyta; Magnoliopsida; Asterales; Asteraceae
Description: long non-coding RNA (LSAT_LNC005959)
Source: RNAcentral
AAUAACCUUCUUCACUCGUCCCUCUGGCUUCUCUACAAACACCAUAGAUACAUGUUUCUUUGAAGAAGAGGGUUUUAUUUGGAGGUUCUUUUUCUUCUAUCGACACCACCGUUUCCUCUUUCUUUCAUUCCCCGACGUUCAACAAUCCUCUGCGUUUCCCUCUUCCUCUGUUAGGUAACGUUCUUGAUUUUUUUUUGUGUAUUUUAUUGAUUUCGUUUUGUUUUUGUUAGGUAUUUUGAAUUAGGCUAACAUCUUCAGGCCUCCCUUCAUCACUGUGAUGGAUUCAUCGGGCUAUUGGGUUGUACCUUUAUUCUUUGUAGUUGUAGUAUGACGUCUGGUCCGAUGUCAGUUUGGUUCACCAUCAUCAUCGAUCAAGAAAACGAGCACAUGUCUUUCUCCUCUGAUUUCUAGGCUGUGAGUUUAAUUGUCUCUUUUCUCCUCCGAUUUCUGGUUUUCUUUUUUCUUUCUAUUUCUCGUCCAUUUAUUUUUUGUUUUGUUGGUUUUUUGAAGCAGGCCACCUAAUAGAAAGCACCCAUCAAAUGAAGAUGAUUGGUCCAACAAUAGUUAAGUUUAAAUAGUCUUGAAACCCAAAAAAGUACUGUUUAGUUGUAGAUUCUUCUUCUGUGCACUUUAGGUGUUUGAUGAAAUGUCUUAAUGUUAUUGGAUUAAAUUAUUGAGCUAUUAGAGAUUCAAUCAGGGAAAGAAAAUUUAUUGUUUGUAGUUUUAACUCAAUUAGAAAUAGAAGUGUAUUUGGUUCUAACUAAGAGUUGCCUAUAAUUAAUAUACGUUAGGCUGAAGUGUUAAAUUUCCAUAUUUGAAACAGAUUUUGAUUGUCAUUGCUACAAAAAUAUAUGGACUUAUGUUUGUAAUUUUCUUACUGCAGGAUUUUUAGAGAUUGAAAAUUGAUUUUUUGGGGGCAUAAGGAAAGUAAGCUUGAAUCUUAAUCAAAUGAGGAAUACUUCCAAGAGGUGUUGUGAUUUUUUUAACAAUUUAUAUGCUGAGCUUUUUGUUUCAAGGCUACUACAAAGAUACGUUUUUAGUUCCAUUGAAUCUCAAAUAAGGGUGUUGGGUGAUUUCCGUCUUCUAUCCACUGAAUUACAAAAGAUAUGAGUCUGUAACUUUGUUUGUUUAUUUCCAGAAAUACCCCUCUGUUCCUAAAAACUUGUGCUUAUAUAUAUAUAUUAUCUGCAGGAAAUGAUGGGAUUAACUAACUUCAUGUUGAAUCAAUCAAAAACGAUGCUGAAUAUUGCAUAGAAACACCUUCAGUACUUAUUUAGUAUGCCUGGUAGAUCUUUACAUCAGGGAAGGAAAUGCCUCAUGGUGGAUUGAAAUGUUAAAAUCAAGUGGUCAAUAUAAAGAGGUGCUGAUGUAUACUUUCGUAUCUCUGAUGAGGUAAUAAUCAAUCCCUUUUGUGAAUAAAAAGUAUUAUAUAUGGGAUUUUUGUUAAAAAACUUCAUUUUUUUUUGUUGGAACCUCUUCAUUCAG